RNAcentral lists this ribosomal RNA (499 nucleotides) under uncultured Oscillospiraceae bacterium. Its description in RNAcentral is "bacterial SSU rRNA". It matches the Rfam family "Bacterial small subunit ribosomal RNA", at positions 28 to 523 of the family's 1533-position model. The record is from RNAcentral. Lineage: Bacteria; Bacillati; Bacillota; Clostridia; Eubacteriales; Oscillospiraceae.
GACGAACGCUGGCGGCGCGCCUAACACAUGCAAGUCGAACGGGGAUAUACGCUGAGAAGCCUUCGGGCGGAUCUUGUAUAUUCUAGUGGCGGACGGGUGAGUAACACGUGAGCAACCUGCCUUUCAGAGGGGGAUAACGUCUGGAAACGGACGCUAAUACCGCAUAACGUAUACCGGUGGCAUCAUCUGGUAUACCAAAGGAGUAAUCCGCUGAAAGAUGGGCUCGCGCCCGAUUAGGUAGUUGGUGGGGUAAGUGGCCUACCAAGCCGACGAUCGGUAGCCGGACUGAGAGGUUGAACGGCCACAUUGGGACUGAGACACGGCCCAGACUCCUACGGGAGGCAGCAGUGGGGGAUAUUGCACAAUGGGGAAACCCUGAUGCAGCGACGCCGCGUGAGCGAAGACGGUCUUCGGAUUGUAAAGCUCUGUCAACGGGGAGAAAUAAUGACGGUACCCGUGGAGGAAGCCACGGCUAACUACGUGCCAGCAGCCGCAGUAA